GGACUUCGGUCUGGUGGCGAGUGGCGAACGGGUGAGUAAUAUAUCGGAACGUACCCUGGAGUGGGGGAUAACGCAGCGAAAGUUGCGCUAAUACCGCAUACGAUCUACGGAUGAAAGUGGGGGCUCGCAAGACCUCAUGCUCGUGGAGCGGCCGAUAUCUGAUUAGCUAGUUGGUAGGGUAAAAGCCUACCAAGGCUUCGAUCAGUAGCUGGUCUGAGAGGACGACCAGCCACACUGGGACUGAGACACGGCCCAGACUCCUACGGGAGGCAGCAGUGGGGAAUUUUGGACAAUGGGGGCAACCCUGAUCCAGCAAUGCCGCGUGAGUGAAGAAGGCCUUCGGGUUGUAAAGCUCUUUCAGCCGGGAAGAAAACGCAUGGGUUAAUACCCUGUGUGGAUGACGGUACCGGAAUAAGAAGCACCGGCUAACUACGUGCCAGCAGCCGCGGUAAUACGUAGGGUGCGAGCGUUAAUCGGAAUUACUGGGCGUAAAGCGUGCGCAGGCGGUUUGUUAAGAUAGGCGUGAAAUCCCCGGGCUCAACCUGGGAACUGCGUUUAUGACUGGCAGGCU
This 571-nucleotide ribosomal RNA is filed under the name uncultured bacterium. RNAcentral's name for it is "bacterial SSU rRNA". It matches the Rfam family "Bacterial small subunit ribosomal RNA", at positions 75 to 642 of the family's 1533-position model. The record is from RNAcentral.